AGUGAACGCUGGCGGUAGGCCUAACACAUGCAAGUCGAACGGCAGCACAGUAAGAGCUUGCUCUUAUGGGUGGCGAGUGGCGGACGGGUGAGGAAUACAUCGUAAUCUACUUUUUCGUGGGGGAUAACGUAGGUAAACUUACGCUAAUACCGCAUACGCUCUACGGUUGAAAGCAGGGGAUCUUCGGACCUUGCGCGAUUGAAUGCGCCGAUGUCGGAUUAGUUAGUUGGCGGGGUAAAGGCCCACCAAGGCGACGAUCCGUAGCUGGUCUGUGAGGAUGAUAGGCCACACGGGAGCUGAGACAGGGUCAAGACUCCUACGGGAGGCAGCAGUGGGGAAUAUUGGACAAUGGGGGCAAGCAUGAUCCAGCCAUACCGCGUGGGUGAAGAAGGCGUUCGGGUUGUAAAGCCCUUUUGUUGGGAAAGAAAAGCAGCAGGUUAAUACCACGCUGUUCUGACGGUACCCAAAGAAUAAGCACCGGCUAACUUCGUG
This 492-nucleotide ribosomal RNA is filed under the name uncultured bacterium. Its description in RNAcentral is "partial 16S ribosomal RNA". It matches the Rfam family "Bacterial small subunit ribosomal RNA", at positions 29 to 507 of the family's 1533-position model. The record is from RNAcentral.